Molecule: ribosomal RNA, 484 nt
Filed under: Meligethes pallidoelytrorum
Lineage: Eukaryota; Metazoa; Arthropoda; Insecta; Coleoptera; Nitidulidae
Description: partial large subunit ribosomal RNA
Rfam family: Bacterial large subunit ribosomal RNA
Source: RNAcentral
CAUGGCCUUUUGCUAUUAAUAUAAGGUCUGACCUGCCCAAUGAUAAUUUAUUAAAUGGCCGCGGUAUUUUGACCGUGCAAAGGUAGCAUAAUCAUUAGUUUUUUAAUUGGAAGCUGGUAUGAAAGGUUGAAUGAGAAAAUAACUGUCUUUAUGAUAUUUGAUUAGAAUUUUAUUUUUAAGUAAAAAAGCUUAAAUAUGAUUUAAAGACGAGAAGACCCUUUAGAGUUUUAUAAAAUUUAUAUUUUUGAUUUUUUAGAAUUAAUUAUAAUGAAAUUAAAUUUUAUUUGAUUGGGGUGAUUAAAAAAUUUAAAUAACUUUUUUUUUAUUAUACAUUGGUAUAUGAAUAUUUGAUCCAUAAAUUAUGAUUAUAAGAUUAAAUUACCUAAGGGAUAACAGCGUUAUUUUUUUUGAGAGUUCUUAUCGAAAAAAAAGAUUGCGACCUCGAUGUUGGAUUAAAAUUAAAUUAUGGUGUAGAGGCUAUAAC